GGACAACCUGCCCUUAGGUUGGGUAUAAACCCGGGAAACUGGGUAUAAUACCCGAUAGGUCUCGAUUGCUGGAAUGCAUCGAGAUUUAAAGCUCCGGCGCCUAAGGAUGGGUCUGCGGCCUAUCAGGUAGUAGUGGGUGUAGCGUACCUACUAGCCUACGACGGGUACGGGUUGUGAGAGCAAGAGCCCGGAGAUGGAUUCUGAGACACGAAUCCAGGCCCUACGGGGUGCAGCAGGCGCGAAAACUUUACAAUGCUGGCAACAGCGAUAAGGGAACCUCGAGUGCCAGGUUACAAAUCUGGCUGUCGAGAUGCCUAAAAAGCAUUUCAUAGCAAGGGCCGGGCAAGACCGGUGCCAGCCGCCGCGGUAACACCGGCGGCUCGAGUGGUAACCGUUAUUAUUGGGUCUAAAGGGUCUGUAGCCGGCCGGAUAAGUCUCUUGAGAAAUCUGGCAGCUUAACUGUCAGGCUUUCAGGAGAUACUGUCUGGCUCGAGGCCGGGAGAGGUGAGAGGUACUUCAGGGGUAGGGGUGAAAUCUUGUAAUCCUUGAAGGACCACCAGUGGCGAAGGCGUCUCACCAGAACGGACCUGACGGCAAGGGACGAAAGCUAGGGGCACGAACCGGAUUAGAUACCCGGGUAGUCCUAGCCGUAAACGAUACUCGCUAGGUGUCGGCCACGGUGCGACCGUUGUCGGUGCCGUAGGGAAGCCGUGAAGCGAGCCACCUGGGAAGUACGGCCGCAAGGCUGAAACUUAA
This 756-nucleotide ribosomal RNA is filed under the name uncultured archaeon. RNAcentral describes it as "bacterial SSU rRNA". It matches the Rfam family "Archaeal small subunit ribosomal RNA", at positions 102 to 859 of the family's 1478-position model. The record is from RNAcentral. RNAcentral also lists the same sequence under 1 other name.